Molecule: long non-coding RNA, 657 nt
Filed under: Rattus norvegicus (Norway rat)
Lineage: Eukaryota; Metazoa; Chordata; Mammalia; Rodentia; Muridae
Description: long non-coding RNA NONRATT002088
Source: RNAcentral
UCCACAUGUGAAAAAUGUUGCAAACCCUUGAGUGAACUUUCUUAUAUUUCUCAACACAAGAUAGUUCAAACUGGAGUGAAAUAAUACAAAUGUUAAUAUGUUAGCACAUCUACAAACCCUAAAAGUUAGCAGCUUCCUGCUUAAUAGAAACCAUACAAGAUUGACAAAUGUGUUUAAUGGACAACAGAAGAUCUGGUGAUUGUGCUUGGAAGCAUAAGCUGGAAAUGCUGCAGUAUAAGAAAAUACCCUGAUAACAACUAUUCAUCAGUCUCCUGCUUCCUGACUGUGGAUGGAACAUGACUACCUGCUUUAAGCUCCUGUCGCCUUUACUUUCUUACAUGUGUGGUGGUUGGAGUAAGACCCCAAGGGCUCAGAGAUUUGAAUGCUUAGUCAUCAGGCAGGAGCACUUCUUUAAAAGGAUUAAGCAGUGUGGCAUCAUUGGAGUAAGUGUAUCACUGGGGGUUGUAUUUAAGUGUUCAAAAGCUCAAAGCCAGUGUUUCCCUUUUCUUCCUGAUUGUGGAUCAAAAUGUAAAAUUCUCAGCUACUUCAUCAUAUCUGUCUCCACCAUGUUCCCUAGCAUGCUCCCUACAAUAAUGAUAAUGUUCAAAACUUCUGAAACUGUAAACAAGCCCAAUAAAUGCUUUCUUUCUAAUAGUU